RNAcentral lists this long non-coding RNA (23428 nucleotides) under Solanum lycopersicum (tomato). RNAcentral's name for it is "long non-coding RNA (SLYC_LNC000160)". Lineage: Eukaryota; Viridiplantae; Streptophyta; Magnoliopsida; Solanales; Solanaceae. The record is from RNAcentral.
AGAGAGGGGCACCAGUUCUGUUAAUGCAAUCAAGAAAUUCCAACAUUUUCCCCUUUAUGUCUUCUCGAAAAUCACCUUCAGAUGGCUUGCUCACAUUUGUUAAGAUGUCCGUGAAAUGAGGAGUUGUUGCUUUGACAUCUGGGAGGUUGAAUUUAUCAAGGGCAUCUCUCGCCAUCUUCAGGUAACGGAUAGUACCAUUAAAUUGUUUUUUCAUAUAUAAUGACUUCGUAAAGGGUUCGUUCCCCACGUACACAUACCUACAAAUCAAUAACUUCAACUUCAAAUCUAGAUUAAUGUAACAACAACAAUGAAUAAUAAUAAUAAUAAUAAUAAUAAUCUACCUGAAUUUAACUCCUUGGUCUGUAUAAACCUUGACACGUUCAUGAAUAUAAUCGUCCAUUUGUUUUUGCUCGACAAUAUUUCUUAAAAAGUUCUCUUGUAAGGUGAUGCCGAGCCCAAUAUUGGUUUCAGCAAAAGCAUCAAGAACAUUAAAACUCGGUUGAAAAAGUCUCAACUCUGGGAUUCCAUUUUGUAAGAGUAAAUCCACAACCAUUGAUGGAACAAACUUUUGUGUUGCCAUCCUCCCCCAAUUUAUGCCCAAGUAAGCUCUUACAUGUAUCUCACCACAAAACAAUAUCAAUGACAUCAAUAAACUUAUCCAUAGCGAACUUAUCUUUCCGUACAUUUUAGAAUUUCCACAAUCAUAUAUGAAGGCGUCUGUAAUGCAGCUCGCCUAAUAGAACCAGUCCGCUCUAUGUUUGUAAUUAUGAAUAUAAGUUGAAAAAGGAUCAUAACUUUUUCAAAAGAAUUAGACAUGCAAUGAAUAUACUUGAUGUAUUUGUGUGAUUCUGCAUGAUUGUCGCAAAAAUAUUUCGAGUGGUUCACAAUAUUAUGAGAUGAACAUCAUUUCUAUCAUAAUAAUGAGGAGUUUCUCUUGCAAUACAACCUUUAAUUUAAUUAAGCUCAAAAAUAAAUAAAUUACAAUCUUAUUUUAUCUUUUUAUCUUAUAUAAUUUAUAUAUAUAUAAAAGAGAAUCCUAGGACCCAUCACAAGUUGGAAUUUCCUUUUAUUUUACUCUCUCCGUCUCAAUUUAUGUGACACUUUUUGAAUUUCGAGAGUUAAACAAGUUUAUCUUUGACCGUAAAUUGUUCAUAUGUCUCUUAAUUAUUUUGAAUUGUCAAUUAUUGUGACUUAAAUAGUACUUUUUAUAUAGUUUAUAAAUAUAUAAAUUUCAUUUUAAACAUAUCAAACUUAAACUGUUUGACUCUCGAAAAAAACGAAAUCUGUCACAUAAAUUAGGACAUAUAUAGUAAUAUAUUUCCAAAAGCGCCCUUCCCCUCUGCAAUAGGAAGGCGAACAUCAAAUGCCACUUCAACCUUAUCAUUCUCCAACAGGCGAUCCACUUCAACAUAGUUUUGCCAUUUUUUCGCUUCUCUCUCGCAUAGCAUAUGGAUUGAUAGACAGGGUGCAAGCAAUACAAAACAGAACACCAUUAAUAAAUUACCUAGUGCUCCUAAUUUUCUUUUACUUCAUCAGAAGGGAUGUCACGAUGUGCAUCGAUCAAGCUAUGUUAGGUAUCCUUCGUCAGUUAUGUCACUAUCAUCCAUUGCCUGGUGGCAAGUUAUAUUGACAUACUCUGUAUAUGUAAUGUGUUUGUAUAAUGUGUGAGCGUUGAGGUUGACACUAAUCGGAGAAGGACAAGGAAGAUAACAAGAAAACAAAUAAUAGGCGAGGCGAGGAAAUAGUGGUUGCUAUAUGAGCUUAGAUAUACGAGGAACUAAAUAAUAGCAAGUAUGGACUGAGAUAAGACUGAAUCCCCAAGUCGCAACUCUUCAUUUUCCAUUCCAACCUUUUUAAAAUUAAAUAGUAACACAUAGAAAAAAUAUAUAUAAGGGGACUACUCCACCAAAAGACCAAGAAUUUAAUCCCUUCAACGUAUAGUUUUCAACAGCUAUAAGAAAAUUAAUAUAGCCCAUAAAUAUGAUGGUUAAAUGGAUAUUAAGGUAUUUUCAUAAUAAGUAAUAAUCACUCAUUAAAGCUAAAUAAUAGUGAAUAAAUAAAGAGUCAUUAAUAAUAAAUAGAAUAACGAAAGAAUCUUAGAUAAUAAUAUGAAUACUUUUUUUUGAGAUACUAAAAUUAUUUUUCCAACAAUUCCCUACAUAUUUGAAAAAGAAUAUUACGAAAUAGAAUGAAAUAAGAAUUUUUGCUUGAUUUUGACAUAUGAGUCUAAUGCAUCGAAUUUGGUGUCCGUAGACUAUGAACCAGACCUAUAAAACAAGAUUAUACUUUAGAAUAAUUUGGUGAUGUUUAGAACUUCUGUGAACCAAUAAUUCUUUUGUAAGUCCAAUGUCUUAUUAUAUCACAUUGUACUCACACAAUCUUUGUCGUUAUUGCAAUUUUAUGCUAAGCAGCCAUGCAUGUGUCCUGGUAUUCACGAGUGCUCUAGAAAUAUGUCACAAUUUCAUAGAAGCGGUACCACUUCAUACUCAUAUAGGUCUAAUCAUCAAGUGUAUUCUGCAGAGCAAUACAUCACCUAUAAAGGAUAUGACUUGGAUUAAGAACUCUUACUCUGCCUCACUUUGUUUUGUAGAUUAUCACACUAUAUUCACACAUCAUAGGAGGGACAAAACUUUAUAGUAUUUACUUAAUCAACUAAUGACUUGUUAUUACUCAUAUGAACCUAAUUCAUGGAUCUCCAAUCACAUAGGUUGGGUUACCAUCAUUGUUGAUCUUCUCAAAUGACUAAAGGUCUUUACUCCCCUUAAUGUUUCAUUAGUGUGUGAACUGAUCAGAUUCACCUCCGACUACACAUAAUUUAUUUUUGUAAAUAAUUCAUCCACUAUAGUCGCUUCUUCAAAUUGUGUCUCAAACACAUGUAUCAAUUUAGUCACAUAAAAAUUUAUUUUAUUCCAAUUGGAAUACACACUAAGAGUUGUCCUAACCACUUAGUCUCAUCACCAAUCAACUCCACAACAACUAAUUCUAGUUAAUUGUUUUUAUAUUAUGGCAUCCACAAAAUAUACCAAAUUCUUUUGCCUUUUUCGUAAUAUAUUGUACUCUUUUGUACAAAAAACUGUUCACUUAUUCAAUAUUGUACUUAUUGUACCUCUCAUGUAUUACCAAAUGCACUUUUCAACAUAAUGCAUCAAGAAGCAAUAUAAUUUUCAAUAAGAACAUGAAUAAUAUAAUCACUUCUUUUAAAACCUCAACAUUUUUUUUCCUCCUCAAACAUUAACAUCCAAUCAAAUAACAAUUAACUAUCACAACUAUGUAAAUGCAAUAUUUAUCAACUUACAAUUAAAAUCUUAGAUCAUGUUUUUCUUUAUACUUUUCUUUAGGAUCAUGUAGCACAACAUUAGUAACAUACCCCUAAACCUUCAAAUAUUUCAUAAUAGAGAAAUUGUAACAUCUCACAACUAGAAAGAACUAGAAGAAAGUAUAAAAUCUGGAAAUAGUUAAUUUUGAAAAGUAUGAGAAAAUCUGGAAAAUUUUAAGUAAGUUAAAAGUGAGUUUUUGGUCAUUUUCAAGCGACCAUAACUUCUAGCUCAGGAUGAGUUAGAGUUACAUUCAGAUAUGGUUGGAAAGCUCUUAUCUCGACCUUAUAUGAGUGAGUUAUGCCUUUUUGAAGUUGGGCUAUCAAAUUAAGAAAAUGUCCAAUCCGUAAUUUUUAAGGGUAUUUUGGUCUUUUGGCUACCCUAUUAUAUUAUUCCAUUUUUAGGAAUUUAAUAUUGGUUAGUUUUAGAAAAUUAGAAUUUUCACGCUAAGCCUAAGUAAAAAGGAGAAGAGAAAAGAAGAAGGAAAAAAAGGGCAAAAUCAUCAAAAUCAACCAAGAAAGUUGGUGUUUUCGCUAUGGAACUUGCUUCAAAUAGGUAUGUGAGGCUCCCAUAACGUUGGGAUUGUUCUCCCACGUUCCAAGUAUAUUAUUUCAGUUUGGAUUCGUUCUCAAAUCAUUAGAAUAUUGAUAUCUUGGUACCCAUUUCUUGAAUUCAUAUGUUGUUCUUGAAUUGCCUGAGUUGUAAAGUUUAUAAUUCGUUACGUCGCAUUAUGCGGUCAUUUCGGGUUAGGUUCUUAGGUACAUUUGUUGGGUAUCUGUAUCUAAAAGAGAAUUAAGAAACAUAACUGAGUUUGGGGAAUUGGGAAAGAAAAACGAAGAAGAAAAUUCGACGAACAAAACUGGGACAUGGUCCCCUCUGUGUGUCCAACACGCAGUUUUAAAAUUUCAGCUCUUCGACAUGAGGUGUUCUGCCUCAAAAGAUAUUUUCAAAACCAAAAUUAAAUUAUGCCUCCCCGUCGCGGACCCACCCUCAAUUUCUGAUUAUUGGAUUUUUCUCAUAUUUAUCUAUCUAGAAUCAUUCCUAAUCAUCAUGAGAUCUUUCUAAACAGAAUCUAAUUUCAUGAGUCUAUAAUUCGAUUAAAGAAUCAGUUAAGAGUCAAGUCAAGAGUAUUUAAAAAUCAAAGUUAAGAGAAAUAAAAAGUCAAAUGAGAGGAGUCAUUUCAAGUCCUCAUAAGUCUUAUACAAACAUUUUAAUUUUGUUUUUAAGACUUAAGUUUUGAGUUUAGUAAAGAGUGAAGUUGAAGUUCUUUUCUUCAAAGGUAUAAAGGACGAAGUAUUCUCAAAGAGACUUGAAAUGUUUUAUCAUUUAGCUAGUAAGAAAACUUUAAUUUUCAAGAAGCCUAGGGCAAGCUUUCAGAAAAGAACUAUAGCUUUCUAAAAGAAGCAAGCAUGGAAACUAUGAUUUCCAAGAUAGCUAUAAGCUAAGUAUUUUGAGCACUAAUCUCAAAACCACAUAAUUAGUAUGUUUUUAAAACAUAAUAGCAAGCAUAUUUUUGGGUUUAGUAUUGAGCGCCAAUAUGGAAGAGAGUUCACACAACUCACAGUCCCCAUAAACCAUGUAACCACCAUGAAUAGAAAAGGUUCAUACUUUUUAGGGAUAAUGCCCAAGUACCCCCUCAACCUUUGCCUGAAAUCCCAGAGACACACUUAUACUAUACUAAGGUCCUAUUACCCCCUGAACUUAUUUUAUUAAUAAUUUUUUACACUUUUUCGGCCUACGUGGCACUAUCUUGUGGGUCCAACGAUGGUUGACUUUUUUUUUCAAACUAGUGCCACGAAGGCAAAAAAAGGUAGAAAAUUACUUAUAAAAUAAGUUCAGGGGGGUAAUAGGACCUUAGUAUAGUAUAAGUGUGUCUCUGGGAUUUCGGGCAUAGGUUGAGGGGGUACUUGGGUAUUUUUCCUACUUUUUAAAUAAACCCUUUUUCAUAGUAGACUAGUGGAUCCAUUAGGCAGUUUAAAUCUUAUACCUUUGGCUGGGUAUAGGAUGCGCUGGGAGCGUGAGGUAUAUCAGUGUAUCAUCACUGUAAUUCUUAAGUGAUGAUUGUCGGUUAGAGAAACUCCCACAGAAGUUAUUGUAUUCUUAUGUACAUCAGUUUACUUGUAUUUUUUUAAUACAUACCAGAGUUAACUAUAUCUUGCAUAAAUUCAGUGUUUACAGUAUGUUUCAGACAGUUUUCUUUAUAUUGCACUUACCGUUAAAUUGCAUUAUAUUGAAAUGAAUUAAGUUAUUCAUGAGUUGAGCAAAGCCAAGGUAAGUGUUCCUUCUUACUUCUUUUCAAGCUUAAGUGUUGUUAGCAUUCGAACUGGCAUACUCGUACAUUCAAUGUACUAAUGUUAGUUGGCAUGCAUCGUAUUAUGAUGCAAAUGCAGGUAACUAGGAUCAAUAUCCGGCACACCGUUGAUCCAGUUGAUCACUCCAAAAUCAGUUAGUGAGCCUCUUUGCACUCCGGAGGAUAUCCUUUAUUGCUUUCUAGUUAGUUCAAUAGGAUGUUGUGGGGUUUGUCUCAACAUUCAUCUCAGUCAGUUUAGAGGCUUCAUAGACAGUUAGUAGUUUAGUAGUCUUUAUAUUUCAUUCUUGUGUUAAAGACUUGGGUUGUCAUUUUGGUGGUGUUGAAUUUUUAGAUCUUUAAGACAUUCUCACUUAUUUUCUUAUGCAGUUAAGAGAAGUUCUUUUAGCAUUAUAAGUGUGAUUGUUGUCUUCCGUUGUGUUAAGUAAGUCAGGCCAAGGGUCCGCUCUAGGCCAGCAAUGGUCACCGAGUGUCAGUCCCUCACAUGGUGUAGGCUCUGGGCAUGACAUAAAUAACAUUUAUAACCUGAGCAAGAAAGCCCUACACUUUCAGAUAUUUCAUAAUAGAGGAAUAACAUUCAACAUCCAUAAAGUUCUUUACACUAAAAUAUUUUUCGCAUCUAGUCAUUAUUUAUACAAGUCUCAAGAAAAUUGAUAGAAUUACUUCUAACAACUUAAGCCCUCAAAAACACCAAAAUAUAUUUUCUUAGUAAUCUUAAUUUCAACAUAAAUUUAUGCAUCAAAAGAAAUUCAUAUAGAAAACUUAGACAACUACUCAUUAACAGUCUUGAAAACAAUCUCAAACAGUAAGGAUAAAUAAAUUACCAUACUAUUCCAAACCAUACAACUCAUGUCAUUAAUAUUCACAAACAUUAGGCAAUUUGUUAGUUGCAAACAUAAAACAAGGCAUGUUUAUCAUUUUUUUCCUUUAUAAUUAUCAAAAUAUAAUAGCAAAUUAAACAUUAAAAGCACCUGAUACCACCAUGGUUUUCAUUUUAUCAAACCCAUAUAAACAUUCAUUUAUUUUCUAAUAAUCACAUAAAAUCAUAUUGACUUGACUACUAUAAUCAUGUACCACCUAAGAAAAUGCUAGUAUAUAGAUGUGAAUGUUUAAGAAGAAUUUUUUAAUUCUAAGAACUUAAAGUUAGUUCUAUAAUUUUUUUUUUCUUCUUCUCCAAUUUGGGUGUCGAACACAAUAAUUUUAGUUAGCACAAAUGUACUUAACAACACAAAAAUUCUAUCAUCCAAUUUCUCACUUUCACACAUUAGCCACAAGUCACUUGAGAAAUGACCACAACAAUCUAUAUCAUCGUGCAUUUUGGUGAAUUUCAAAUCAUGAUUUGGAAUCUCAAAUCAAGCUUUAUAUUAUUAUUUUUUUAAAAAAAAAACAUGAUUUGGAAUCUCAAAUCGUGCAUUUUGGUGAAUUGCAAAUCAUGAUCUCAAAUUGUAUGUCCAUAUAAUGACGUAAAAAUCAUGAUUUCAUAUCGCAUGUUCAGACACAAAUUAAAUUUAAAAAUACUUUAUUUUAUUUUGAAACUGACUUAAAAAAUAAAAUGUGUCACAUAAACUGAGACAAAGAAAAAUACGUAUAUGAUUAAUGUUGAGGCGAAUUUAAGUUUAUAAUUUUUUAUUUUGGUUUAUUUGGUUGUAUGAGAUUAAUAUGGGGAAGGGCUCCCUCUAUAAAGUGGUGUAUUGAUUGAAAUUUUUCUAUCUUUAAUAAUGGCUCUAGGUUGCGAGUAGGUGUAUAUAAGUCAGAUUAAUUUGUUUUUUGAUUAAAAAAUAAUUAGAUCAAUUAUGUAAAUUAAUUAAAUCAAAUCUAUAAACCAAAUCAAAUCAACAUAAAAUCUUUUUUUUUUCAUUUUUGCUUUUAUUUGAUCUUUUAACUCUUUCGAUUUUUCUAACAAUCAUACAGUGAUUGAAAAAAGAGAUCAAAUAUAUUUUAACUUAUUUAUAUGAUAGGAUAGAACUUUAAAAUGUUAUGAAUAGAAAUCUUUCGAAAAAAUUAAAAAUCACGUGAGUACAAAAUACUUUUACUAAAAUAUCAAUGUUCAAUAUGCUAAAUUUAUAAGAUUCAAGACUAUUGUCAAAAUGAUGUGUAUAACAAUGUAAUUGUAUUGUCCAAUAUGAAUACAAAAUAAAUACUUACACUAGUGUGUGUGCGUGUGCGUCCGUUCAUGUGUGUGCUUGCUUUCAUGGGCGGACCGGACUGAUAGAAAUUAGAAUAUACUUAGCAGUGAACCCAUAAAAAACAAAAGUGUCCUUGUGCAAUUGGUAGAAGCUAAAGAUAUCACCCUCUAGGCCAGGUUCAAAUCCCACUUAAGCUUGUUUUUAUUUUAAGUUUAGCUUAGACCUCAUAUUUAAGUUAUGUUUAUAUUGGUGCACGCAAAGUCUUCAAGUCAUGGGUUUGCCUCUGCUUGCUUUAAAUUUUCUUCCAUUAAAAGAGUAUAUUUUUAAUUAUUACUUGCAAAUAAUUUUUUGCUAAUACACAUACAUUAAAAAUAAUAGAAAAUAGGUUCUUAAAAAAUAUUAGCAAUAUUCAAACAUGAAUUUAAUUAUUUGUCAUUAUCACAUAACUCAAGAACCUCUAAUGAAUGAAUUAUUAAUGAAAUAAUAAAUCGUUGGUACUUUAAUCAACAUUAAAAGGAAAAUGAAGAAGAAAGUAAGAAUAUAUAUGCAAAGGCAUUUUGUAAUAAAAGAAAAUAUUUAAGUUGCAUAGAUUAUACAAUUGUGAUAUAUGUCUUAGGAGAAAAUUCAAAAAAUUGUUAGCAUGUUCAAAAAAGAAAUUACGCUUGAACGUGAAAGCAAUUAUAACUUUUGAACUUGCAUACUUAAUUUCUUCAAUUGAUAAGUAAGAAAUUUUAUAUUUAUGUAAAAGUAGAUAAUAUGUAAGUUUAUAUAUAAUACUUUUAAGUUAUAUAAUUUAAUAUAAAAUAUCAAAACAUGAAUUCUUAAAACUGAGUACAAUAAUUAUUUUCUGCACAAUCUAUACGUGUACUAUAUGUGCAUAUGUUCAAUUUAACCAGAGUAAUAACUUUGCAGAAACAUAAACAAGAGAGUUUAAAACAUGUACACAAAAACAAAAAUUAAUAUCACAAACAUACAUUAUGAGUGAAAAAAAACAUACCAGGAUAAGUAAAAAUAACAUAAAAUAGUAUCACACCCCAAGCUACCCCCGAGACGCGGACACGGAACCUAGGACCACAAGUAAUCCCAAACUAACCCUGUUGGCAUGAUCAUGAGCAUACUAAAGAUAAUAAACUGAUGCGGAAACUCAAUCAUAAUUAAAUCUGAAAAGAUGGAGAAUACUCACAUUCUAUAACUGAGAUAUUUGAAAACAAUGAGUUUAAUACAAAGGAAAAAUUAACUCAAUACUAAGUUGAAUCUAAUUAUGCCUGAAAUAAGCCUCUAAAUUGGACUAGAAAUACUGGGACAAGCCCCAUCUAAAUCUAGCAAAAACUAAAACUAAAUGACUAAAGACUGAAAUGAAACUCAUAAUUGUUGUCCUCAGAGAAUGAGGACUCACCACUGAAUCUACUGAACUGGAGAUAGGAAAUCGAUUUAUGGGUGAUCUGGAUGCUGAGUUCCUAAACCUACAUCACAAAAGAUGUAGCGCACGUAUGCUUCAGUACUUGAAAGGUACUGAGCAUGUAGGAUAGAGUAAAACUGAAAGAAAACAUAAUUGAACAAGCAUAAAAGCUAGUGUAAUAAUCUGACAUGAUAAAUUGAAUUAUGAGUUAACUGGAUGCAAUGACCAAUUUAUAACAUGCUGAAACUGAUUACUGAAUAUACUGAUAAAUGGUCAAUAUAAAGAGUCUAACUGAACUGUGACGUGUUGACGUGAUCACUAACUGAUUGCCCACAGUAAUGACUUACAACCUACUUGGCUAGUAGUUCUGGGACUAAUUGGGUACGCUGAACCCUAGUCCAACUCGGUAUUAUGCUACUUCCAUGGAUUCUGUAAAUUUACUGAUUACGUCUGAGUUUUUGUAAAUACUGGAUAGCUCGAAACUGAACAUCCAAACUGAGAAUGCAACAAUUAAUCUGGUAAUUAUGUAUUUAUAACUGAGGCAUGUAUAUCUGAAAUGUUUGAUUUAUCUGACCUAACAUGUGUAAUUCAAGAACUAAAGAAAUACAUAGCUAGGGCUUUGAAAUUCAUGCAAUAAACUGAAUAAUAAUAACAUGAUAAUCCGAUUUGGAACAUAUAAUUAAUAAGUUCAUGAAGUUCUAGAAACCCUAGAUCUAAUCAUGAUAUGGUAAUCAAGAAUCUGACUGAAAACUAGGAUCCCAAUGGGUGAAAGUAACCAACUAGUGAAAUUUCACAUACCUGGUGAUGAAAUCUACGGAAAGAACUUAAGUUUCAGGUCUGGAACUGCUGGAACUUGUUCCGUUCUUGAACUAGGGUUCUUGAGCUUUUUCUCUUCUAUUGCUUCCAAAUUUUCUAAGUUUUGAUUUAAUUAUUUGACUUAGAUAUGCUUUAGUUAUGUUUCUAGGAUUAAAUUGACUAUAAUCUGAUUAUUGAGGGUCAAAACGACGUAACUUAAGAUUUAAACGAAGUGAGAAAAGACCAAAAGACCCUCGGUAAGUUGCUGUCGGACUAAACAACGGCCAGGACUGACGAUCCGUUGCCUGAUCGACGCCCGUCGUUGGGUCCGUCGACUGGGCCUGCUCGACAGACCUUUGCUAAAAUGUGCAUAACUUUUUACUCGGAUGUCUGAUUUUACCAAGGUCGGUAGCUAUUUAAAGUUAAUUCAAUUAUUUAUCUGUGGGUAGGUGAUGGGAGACCUAAUUCAUUUUGUGCUAAAAGUUAUGGCCAUUCAAAGUUUACCCAACUGCAUUUCCCCCUUAAUUGUCUGCUAAUUCCCACCUACAGUCAAACCUAUGGACCGUGUUGGUCAUCCGUAGCUCUUGUCAGAGAGUGGGCGAAUAGAGGUCUCGAUCAACGGUCACGGACUACGGACCGUCGUCUGAUCUACGGACCAUGUUGGUCAUCCGUAUCUCUUGUCAGAGAGUGGGUGAAUGGGGGUCUCGAUCAACGGUCACGAACUACGGAUUGUCGUGUGACCUACGGACUGUAGGUCCGUCCAUCGAUGAAGACGUACCCAAUUUUUUUUCCAGCUGAUUUGGGAGUCUCUGAUCCCAUCGACGGUUGUGCAGGAUGGACCGUGGAUCAGGCUACGGUCCGUCGAUGCCACCGUUAGUUGCACCUGCAGAUUUUUUUUCUGUAAAGCUGGUUUUUUGUCUGUUUUGGCUAUGGGGUGUUACAAAUAGAAAGGAAAACAUUGAGUCCACUAAAUGCAGAAUGUCCCCUUAAGAAAUCUAUUCUCCUCCAAUACCAUAGGUUUGAAGAAUUACAUUCUCUCAAGAUGGAAUGAUUUUAUUCAUUAACUUAUUUAUAUAAAAAACAGUGGUGUCAGUAAGUCACUCAACAAAGCAAAGUACACGAAUAUUUAACUUGGCGGAAGUAGAAGAUGAAGAUCAAAAUUUUUGUUGUUUUAAAAUGAGAGAAAAUCUCUCUAUUUUUAGACAACAAAGGGUAGUGUGAACAAAUUUCUAUUGUGACUUAUCAGAAAAGUUAAAACUAUUUGGAAAAGUCAAAACCCUUCAGAAAGUUCAUAACCUUUCAUAAAAAUCACAACUUUUCAUAAAGUCGCCAGUCUUCAUUAAAGUCACCACUUUUUAUAAAAGUCACAACUCUUCAUUAAAGUCACAACUUUUUAUAAAAGUUGCGACUCUUCAUUAAAAUCGCAACUUUUCAUAAAAGUCAAAACUUUUCAUAAAAAUCGCAAUUCUUCAUUAAAGUCGCAACUUUUCAUAAAAGUCUUGUUUAUGAUGGCGCCAUAUAUGCGGACCUAAGGUUCUCUUUUAUAUAAAUAUAUGAUUAUUAUAAUAUUCCUAAAGAAUAAAAAUAUAAAAGGUGGAUUUCUCUUUUUAAAAAACUCCAAACAAGAAGAAAAAUAGUGAUUUAUAAUUAUGUCAACCAAAUAUUAAUUUCUCUAUUUUUUCCAUGAGUCAACUUUGAUGUAGUUAUUGACCAACACUUUGUAUUCUUGUAAAAUAAAAAAUAUUACCUCAAAUUAAUCAGGAUUUUGUAUGAACAGAAUAUAAUUAAGAUAAUUAUAUAUGUUUACUGCAAUAAAUAUUUUUCUAUUUUAUAAUUAAUCAAAUCCACCAUUAAUAUUAAGAUAAAUUAAUAUUAUUUUCUGUCAAAAUCAUAAUUUAAUUAUGAUAAUAUCACUUGAAAGUAAGACAAGUAUAGUUUGUCAAAGUUUAAUAAAGAAAUUUGUUUCUCUUAAUAAUUACAUAUAUCUACUGAUAAUUUAAAAACUAUAAAUUCAAAAGUCUAAAUGCAUUAAAUAUAGAUUAAUUGAUAAUAAAUUUAUUAGUUAUAUAAGGAGUCAUUUGAUCAAUUUUAAGAGAAUACAUAUUUCUUUUCUAAACCUUGUCUACUUAGAAGGAGAACAUUUUUUUUCUGAAGUGUAUUGCGAUUCUUGAAUUAAAUAUAUGCAAUAAAUUAAGAAAAGAAAACCAUUAGAUUAUAUAUUUUUUAGCAAAGUUGUCACUCACUAAAAAAAAUUCUCUUCAUAUUUUUAAAAUAUUGCACAUAAUUGAUUGUUUUUUAAUAUCAUUUUUUAAUUUAGAGAAAUUUUUCAUCAUUCAUACUUCGAAUAUGAAUAACUCAAUUUUUUCUUCUCCUUCACUUCGUGUAUUACUUUGAUAUCCUUUAUGUGUCAGAGCAUUUCAUACUCACAUGGAAUUCACUAAAUCAUGUUUUGGUCACUCAUCCGUCAUUGCAUGAGAGAGAUAUCAUCUUACGUUCUCAUGUAUACGCCUCCAUUAUUUUAUUGACAGAAAAUUCGCAAUCAGCUCAAGCCACACAGCACGCAAGUUUACAAAAUGUUAUCAUUCCUUUUCUAACAUAAGCAUAUGGAACGUUUUUCAAGGAAAUCCGCCAUCAACUCAACCUGCAACCCAACACAUGCGAGUUCGCAAAAUGUCAAUCUACAUUCUUCUAUAUUUGCAUUCAAUAGUAUUUUUUUAAGGAAAUAUGUCAUGAACUCAACCUUCGGUCCUACAACGUACGAGUUGGCGAAGAAAUAAUGGUGUGGUUAUUCUGUCAACAUCGUCGUAAAAUCGUAGCCACCCCAUAGGAAAUGACAAACACUAGCAAUUAAUAGACAACAAAUGGCAAGAGGAAACAAUGUUAUACCGAUAAGCAGGGGCAGAGCACCACAAGUGAAUAGGCUACAAAUGGAAAUAAGAAACAAAGUUGGAGGUUCAAAUUCAUAUUUAAGAAGUUCAAAUCAGACUAUUGUUUACGGUACAAGAUAAUUGAUAAAUCAAUUGAUUGUUCCUGUUUCAUCGAAUGUAGGUGAACUAGUUAACAUAGAUGAAGAACAAAAAGAUUUGUACUUUAACUUGCGGCUUUAACUACAACAAAAUUUAUGUGGAUCUUUUUUGUAACGAGGUGUCUAAAAAUAUGCUAAGUUUGGAGUCUUUACUUUAAUUUUAUUUUGUAUAUGUUUGUCUGAUAGAAGGGUGUCGAAAAGUGUGAAUCUAUUGUUUUAUUUUAUUUUAUUUUAUUAUUGGUCGGACAUGGUGAUGGUCUAAAAUCAUGUUAUGACUGUAGUUUGUUGUUUCUUUCAUCUAAUAUUUAUGUUGAUUUAAAUCAUCUAAAUCGAUACCUUUGUUUAAAUAUAAUUAAUUUUGUUAGUAUUAUUAAGCAAAAAUAUAAACUUUCGGCUAUGAAAUUAUUAUGAUACAUCACACAAUGCUUUACCUUGUUAUUUUAACAUCAAUUCCGUUAUCCUGCAACCCACCCAAAAAAGUCAUUUGUGUAAAAAAUAAAGGAAUAUUUCUUUCUCAUGUUUUCUAUUUUCUAAAAUUUAAGUGAAGUCGAAGAUGAUUAAUUUAGUAGGAUUCAAUUUGUGGAUCAUUCUUCAACAAUAAACUUGUAAUUAUAAUUAAACAGACUUUAGAUUAUUUAGUUUCAUUAAUGAGACUAAACUCAUUCACAGUAUAAUCAAAACCUCGUUAUAAUGUAAUUUUAUUAUAAUGGCACGAUUUUUCCCUAUAAUCAAUUUUUCAUGUUAUAUUUAUUUCUCUAGACAUCAGUUUUUCUUUCUUGUUUCCAUUUCUAUGUUUGCACAUGUAUGCUAAUUUUUAAAAUUAUCAUCGUCAAUGCAUGUUAGGAUUGUUGUUUAAGUGAUUUUUAUUAUUUUCAUUGUAGUUUUCAGCAAAAUUAACAAAUUGAAAUACCCCAAAAAUGGAAAACAAAUUUGGGGGGGGGGGGGGGAGGGUGGGUAAGUGGUAACCAUUCUGUCUCUCCCUACUAUAACAACGUGUAUGCUAUUCAGGAUUACCGCAAUCUCACCAUGACGGCCUUGACGGUAGUAGCCCAGAAUUUGGGAAUUUCUACAGAACUUGAAAUUGCAUGAUGUUCGAACUUCAUACAGAAGGUUCCUUAAGGAUUUCACAAAGAAAUUAUCUAGAUAUCAUAUCAUCCAAAAUAUUUGUCACGACUCUAGAUUAUAUCUUGAACGUGGCUGACAUUCGAGAACUAGCGCUAAUUUGCAAGCGAACUCCUGAUCUGGCUGACUACUCAGUUGAACACUUACUCAAGCACAAGGAAACUCUAAGAGUGUGUUUGUUAUGAAGGAAAACAUUUUCUGGAAAAUGUUUUCUAACUUUUUCAUGUUUGGUUAUGACAAAAGUUUUGAAAAAUGUUUUUCAAAUCAACUCAUUUUCCUCAAAAUUAAGGAAAAUGACUUUCCUUCAAAAAUUAAGGAAACAUUUUCCAAAACUCUCCUCCAAUUUCAAAUUACAUUUUUUUUUGGGAAAAACAUCAAUUUUAAAAAAAUAUUUUCAAUUUCAAAAUUUAUUUUUUCACCCGAUCCCUGACCCCCCCCCACCGGUCAGCCCCCUCCUCCCAACUCUACCCCCUCCCUAAAAAAUUAAUUUUGCUUUUUAAAAAUAUUUUCAACUUCAAGUUUUUAUUUUUAAACUCCUAAACCCCCAACCCCAACCCCCAAAAAAAUAAUUUUAUUUUUUUAAAAUACUAUCAACUUCAAAAAAAAUUAUUUUUUCUCUCCUCCCCUCUCCCACCCGUGACCCCCCCCACCACCACCACCACCACCACCACCACCCCAAAAAAAUAAUAAUUUUUUUUAAAAAAAUAUUUUUAAUUUGAUAAAUUAUUUUUACUCUAGUAAAAUAAAAGAUAUCUCUCAAAUCAAACACUAAAAAUUAUUUUCGGAAAAUAUUUUCUACUCACCAACCAAACAUGAGAAAAUAAAUCCAAAAUCUACUUGUUUUCCAGAAAAUCAUUUUCUAGAAAAACAUUUUCCUCCAUAUUAAACACACCCUAAAUGUAUAAUUAGAAAUAAAUGUCAAGAAUUAGUUAAUAAGGUAUGAGUUACAAUCUCAAAACAGAAAGGAAUUUACUCAGAGACUCAUCAAUCUACCUGACUAUCAAAUCUCUACUACUAGGACUCAUCAACUCUACCUGACUAUCAAAUCUCUACUACUAGGAUAGAUGUUGGGACAAGACCCACAACAACUCAACAAUAACAAGAAACUAUAAUGUGAAAUCCUUCGAAAAGCAAGGAGGCUCUCCAAAGACAGUUAGAGUGUGAGUGAUCUCAAGAAGCGUCUAUUAAUGACCAUGAACAUCUGUAUCUGUAUCAUAAUAAGAUGUAGGUCGAAUGACAUCAGUACAUUGAAUGUACUAUGUAAAGAAAACUAAAUGCAUAUAUAACUGAACGGAUAAGACUGGAAGAAUAUUCACCUCAACUCAACUCAAUAAAAAAGCAAUAAUAAACGAUGAAAUGUUUAAAGAUUCAUAAAUAAAAGAUAUUAACUCAAGGAUGCAUAUAAAAAUACAACAAAUUACUUUUUACUUUUGAGAGAUUCUCUAACUGACAACCAUCUAUAUGACCUAUGAAAUGAUAUAUCGUUUCGUCCACACUGUUAGAACUUUCCUAUACCUUGCCGGGGCAUCGAACACCUCAACUAAGUGGCUCCCCUAAAGAUCUGCUCGAAAUCAAUAAGAAAUCAUCUAAAAAGUAUGAUCAUUUUGCCCAUGUUGACUACAUGGUUUAUGAGGAAGAGUUGUUUGAACUCAUCUUCAUAUCUGAAGGAAUAUUGAUUGUAUUGAAGUGUUAACCUAAUAAGAGAAUACAUGGGAGAUAUAUAUAGGAGAUAUAGGAAGGAGUACUAAUCCUAAUAGGACUAGGAUUAAGAAAUACUAAUCCUAAUAGGACUAGGAUUAGUACACAGUAAAUACUAAUAUUAUUAAAAUCACAACUUUUCAUAAAAGUCACAACUUUUCAUAAAAAUCGCAAUUCUUCAUUAAAGUCGCAACUUUUCAUAAAGUAUAAUCAUUUUGCCCAUGUUGACUACAUGGUUUAUGAGGAAGAGUUGUCUGAACUCAUCUUCAUAUCAGUGCUCAACAGUAUUACAAUAAAAUAUAAUCAUGCUCAAAUGUAUAAAUAUAGUCUUUCUCAAUUUGAGGUGAUUGCUCAAAACAUCCUUUUAAAAGAGGUAACUGCUCUGAAAUAACUCUGAACUCAUUACUCGUUUAGAAAUAAAAAUUUCGUUUUUCUUAAUAUAAAAAUGAUAAACUCGGAGGUUAUACUCAAAUAAUAGGCUUCAUGUUAAAAUAUAGACAUGAACAAAUCAACUCAAUAAAAGUUUUUGAAAUUUUCUCAAACUCACUUUAGUUUUGAACGUGCACUAAAACAUGUGAUUUGAAUAAGCCGAAAUUUUCAAAAGUAAAUGUAACUCAUAUGAGUUAAUACAUUAGAAGGGAAACGUGGUCACUACUCAAAGGAACACGCAUAGGAUGAAACAAGGAGAGGUUGGCCCAGCAACCCACUGCACACAGGGUGCCACACCAUCAGCUUCAGAAGUUAGACCUUUUACUGUUGUUGUGAUGCCUCGGGCCCUGAACUACUAAAGUUCAGCCUUGAUGCUUUCAUGGUAUGCAAACCCAAUACCCCGAUGCAUUUUUAAAUUUAAAUUAGUACCUCAAAUUAGUUACAAUUGAGAAAUUGUUCCUAAACUCCUCUCGUUUCUUAAACUUAAAACUAAUACAUGAGUACUUCUAUACAAUUUCUUUGGAAAAACAUAAAUAUACAAAUUAAUAGGGUUCAUGUGAUACUAAGCAUGAACGACAAUAUAAGAUUCAUGAAAAAAAAAAUCAAAAUCUCAUUUGUUAAAGAAUUGAAUUCAAUAUGAAGAAUUAAGAAUAGAUCCUUUUGUUCUAACGAUUUCUUUAAUAAAUUGAGAUGUACUUGUGUGGACGAACAAGUUAAACACUUUGAGAAGCCUUACAUGCCUGGAAAGAACAAAUGUUCUCGGCAAAAAUCAAUGGAAUCUUGAAGAAUGCUUAAAACCUAACUUUUUCUCCUAUUGGAACCUUGUUCUAACUUCUCCGAGUGUUAAAAGAAUGUGAAAAGGUUUGUUUAACGCUGAUUAUACCCUUAUUGGAUAAAUAAAACGUGGCUAUGCUUAAAGGGAUGGGAAAUACCAAACUACCCCUCUAAAAAUGAUUGAGGUGCCUUAAAAGAGAGGUUUCACUAAAAUAGACAUAAAUUUUUACUUCGUGCUCAAAAGUAAGCUAUUUUGGCAGCAUUGGAAAGGACUUAAAGACCUUUAAUCUUAUAGGUCAUGGGCCACCUAAUUAUUUAUGUGCUAAGAGAUACAAUCGUUUGAAGUUGACCCAAAACUUAAAACUGAUGAUUGACUUGCUCAAAGCUCUUUUUAGCCCUUUUCAAAUUCCAAGUUGCUACAAUAUUCAUGGGCGAACACACACCAAAAAUUGAGAAAAUCAUCUAAUGCCUGUAAAUUAGCCCUUAAGUGCCAAAAUGACUCAAAAAAUGUAAGACUUUAUGUAUGGAUCUCCUAACUACCUACGGAGGAUCGUUCCAAAGUCAUAUCAUCAAAAUAUUCAAGGACUAACACAUACAAAAAAUUGAGAAAAUCACCCAAGUCCUGUAAAUUGACAAUUAAACAUGCAAAAAAAGACUCAAAAUAAUGAGACUAUACAUAUUGGUCCCCCAACUUCCAAUGGAGGGUUACAUAAAUGUUACGAAAAUAAAUCAUUUGGAAUCUAUAUCACUAUUUUAUGCAUGGGUUAACAAAAGAAAAAAAUUGAGACAAUCUUCUGAUUCUUGUAAAUUGACCCCUAAAUGCUAAAAAUGACUUAAAAUGGUGAGAUUUUAUGUAUUCCUCCUCCAAUUCUUUACGAAGGUUCCAUAAAGGUUUCACAUAGAAAUCUCACCAAAAUAUUCAUAGGCUAACACAUACAAAUAACUGAAAAAAUUGUCCAAUUCCUAUAAAUUGACCUACACUCGACCUACACUCUGUUUUUUACACUUAGGGUUGCCAAGUAAGCAAGGAGUUACUCAGAGGCAACAUGAACGAUGGUAUUACCACCCAAUGAAAUAGAUAACUUAUAUGAUUGUUGUUGUUCUCUCUCUUUAUUAUAGCCUUUACUUUUUCUAAUUUUUCCCUUUCUUUGAAUAAGAAUAGUUGUAAAUGUUUUUGGCACUACUUUGACGAUGUUUUAACAAAGACUUUUGGGAAGAGUUCAUGAUUAAAAGUCAUAAUAAUAAGGGAAAAUGCAUAAAACCUCUCCUGAACUUGGCAACAUAAUUUACUUUAACACUUUAACUUUACAGAUUAUUAUUUACCUCUUAAUUUUAUUUCAAGUGAAUUUAAUAGCACCUUACAUAUACAAUACCAAUUUCAUAUUCAUGAACGAAGUGCAUGCACGCCACCUAAGACACCUCAGUGCCUUAUCGAUGACAUGUCAGCUAAUUUGAAAAGAAAAUCUUUAUUUUUUCUUCCCUACAUCUUUUAAAAAUUUUAUUUUCACUCUGCACCCACCCUCUUCAUUAUUUCAUUUGGGUCAAUUUCUUAACAUCUAAAAUUUCACAUUGAUUGAUUCAUUUUUUUACAUUGCUUUGUAAUUAUUCACUAUUACUUCCAUCAAUACUUAUAUCAAUCACCAUAUUGUUUUUCCAACUAGGUGAAACUAUCAACUUAUACCAACAAUGACGAUUUUAAAUUUAUGCAAAAUCGAUAUGCUAAUUUUUUAGAAUUGUUGUUACUUUUCUUGUUUCACUUCUUAAUGCAUAUUCAGGUAUAGAUUAAGUAACGUUUAAAGUUAGAUUAUUUUUUAAGAAAAAUUAAAUCUCAAAAGUAAAGAAUAAAGAAAGUUAUGUGAGUCUUGAAUGUGCUUUUCUAUUUUUGUUUAACGAAAAAAUGUAUAGGAUGUAGAGUUUGAUGAAGGAGAAAGAGGAUGGGUCGGGGUUGGGGUAGGAUGUGGUGGGAGAUUGAGAAAGAAGAGACAAGCAGGGGAGGUGGGGUUUUGAGAAAGGGGUGGAGGGGUUUGAAGAAGAAGAAUGGGUACGUGGGGCUUCUUCUUUUUUUUUUUUCAUUAUAUAAUGCUAGUGGGAUCAUUAUUUUUAUUUUUUAAAAAAAGAUUUACGCGUCUUUUAACUUUUGUGCUUUUCUUUUGUUGGCACGUCAUCUGUUAAGGUGGUAUUAAAUUCACGCGAACUAAAAUUAGGGAAUAAAUAAACAUCGGUGUAGUUUAAGUGCUAAAGUAAAUUAUGUUGUCAAGUUCGGAGGAGUUUUUAUGUAUUUUCUGGACCUUUGUGAAUUUAAAAGAAAAUAGAAGACCUUUGUGAAGAACUAAGGUAGAUCCGGUUUUAUAUUGUACUUAUAUUUGUCUAUGAAGUGUAUAACUAAAGAAGAAUAUUUCGUUGGAAUCACAAAUCCGAUCCCCUAAAAGAAGCUUUAACCCUUAGGCCUAAAACGACUUAUAUGAGUUGUCUCAGUAUUGACCGACUUUAUUUUAUUAGUUCUAGCUACUUCAUUUGGCAUGCGGCAACAUGCUUGGCGAUUAAACGUGUAGAAAUUCCCUACUCCUAGUUUACUUGAAAUAGAUUCAAUGUUAAGCUCCUAGUUUAGUCCCAAUACAAAAUUACACUUAUAACUAUUAGUAAUUUUUCGGAUGGAGGAAAUUUUAACUUAAAACUCAAAAAGGCAAAUUAGUCAAUCAACUUUUAGUGAAUAUUUUGAUCAAUCAACAUUUAUAUACAUUCUUUUAUAAAAAUUAGUUUAUGGUAACGUGCUUUGCAUGUUCAUUUCAAAAGCCUAAUGCAAACUUUAUAUUGCAAAUGCUAUAUUUUAAAUAGUACAUAUUAUUGGACUUUUUUUGUGCUAUGAUAAAGAAAAAUCAAAACUUACUGAAAAUGAAAAAAAAAAAAGAAAGAAGAUACAGAGCAACAACUAUAAGUUUAUGAGAUUAGAAAAUCUUGCAAACUUUGAUGUUACUUUACUGACAUAUAUAAUACUCUAAUUUAAGAAUAAAUACAUACUCGAAUAUAUAUAGAUAUAUGUAUAUAAUAAAAGUAUUUAUCCCAUAAAAAUUAACGAUUAUGCGUGAAAAAUAAAAACUAAAUUGAUACAUAUGUUGAAUUCCAUCAUUAUCAAUUAAAAUGCGAUUAGAAGUCAUGUGAGUCUUGAUUUGAUCCAAACUCAUGAUUUUUUUCCAAAAUUAAGUAAAUAAAAAAGGGAGAUAAAUGUAUAGUAAGACUGCAUAGUGUAAAAAGAAAAAUGCAAUAUUGCACAAUCAAAAUCUAAAAAUAUGAAAUAAUAAACUAUCAGUUGUAAUACUUCAUUAAAUAGCUGAAACAUAAAAUGAUAGAGACGCAGUGAGCUAAAUAAGAAACAGGCUUUGAAAAUUAUGUUGUAAAAUUAUAUAUAAAAAAAAGGUUGCAUCACACAUAAGCAAGCAGAAACAAAAAUCAUCAAAAUCAACAAUAAAAAAAUUGACAUACUAAUGAAGAAUUAGUUGAAGAAAAAGGAAAUAGUAAUACAUAUGUAUACUAAAUGUAGUGACUGGUAGUAUUUUUUUCAACAUUAUUAUAACUAUGAAAAGUUUGAAUAAUCAAGAUAGUGAUUUUUGAGCUUCUCAAUAUAAGUAAUAGAACAAUUAAAAAAGUGGAAUAAUAAUGAAAACUUUUAGAUAGCUUAUAAGUAAUGAAAAAAAUCAUUUAUUAAUUAAACUCAAUAAAUAAGGUUCUUCAAAUAUGUAUACUAAUUUAAAGAGUAUUAAUGUUUAUUACCAAUUUAAAGUUAUUUUAGUAAUUCAAACUUUCAAUUUUGUUUGUUUUUCACUUUUAGUAUAAAAUAUAAAAUAUUUUAUUUUUGUAUAUGUGUGAUUCACCAAUAAUUUGAUUAAUAUUAUAUACUUUAUGAAAAACAUAUAUUACAUGUCUAUUUCAAAAUAUUUUUGUAUAUAUGUGAUUCACCAAUAAUUUGAUUAAUAUUAUAUACUCUAUGAAAAACAUAUAUUACAUGUCUAUUUCAAAAUACUUUGUAUAUAACUUAUUUUGCAAAUAACAAUUUUAAAUAAUUCAUAUAUUUUUCAACUUUUUCUUAGUUGAAAAAUAAAAUUCAAAAUGUAAACUUUAUAGAAAUAUACAAUGUCAUAACCAAAGAUCAACAAUAAUAUAAAGGCAAUCAUAUUUUUAGCCACAAACUCAAAUGAAGGCCAAACAAUAUUUAGUUAGUGAAAAAAUAAAAAUAAACAAAACAAAAUUAGAAAUCUACAAAGACAACUAAACGAACAAACAAAAAAUAAUGAAUCUUACCUUUUUUGUUGAUGGUGCUCAGAAAAAAUCCAAAUGAAUAUCAUAUAUUCAUAUUUAAAACAUCAAAAAUAGAUUUUAAAAAAUUGACGAAUUGAGAGUAGGCAGACAUAUGAAAAAUAUAGCUAGUACUUGUUUUUUUUUUCUUUCACAAUUUCUUGGAAUGGUCUUUUAAAAUAUCCCUUGUUACAUGUGAAAAUAAAAAAACUAAAUCAAUGAACAAAACUUAAACAUAAAGAAAAUGAAACGAUGAAAUGUAAUUGUUAAGGGGAAAAUGUUAAUGGGGAUAGGACUCCACAAUGAGACAAUGUGGACUUCAUAAAAAGAUUCCAGAGUACAGAGCAUAUUAAAGUCGGUGAUAAAUAUUAUUAAAAAUUGGGAGGUUAAAGAAACAAUAACUAAAACUCAAUAAUUAGGGGAAUAUGUAAGAGUUUUUAAUUUAUAAUAAUAUUUAAGGAAAUUGAUGUAAUUACCUUUUUGAUUAGAUAUUUAAUCAAAAUUUUAUUUAGUAAAGAGUAAAAUAGUAAUCCAAUUUUGAAUUUGGAAGCUUGCUAAUAAUAAUAAUAAUAAUAAUAAUUUAUUAUAUUAUUUUGAUGAUGAAUAAAUUAAAUAUAAAUAUAAACUAUAGAUGAUAAAUGUAAUUAAAUUAGAUAUUUUAAUUAGGAAUCAAUCUAAGGAAACCUAAAAUUUUUUAUUAAAAUGAUACAAUUUAAUAUUUAAAUUAAAUAUUUCUAUAACAUUUUAAUUUAUAAUAGGGAUAAAAUCAUAAUUCAACUUUUAACUUUUUUUGUUUCCACUUAUAAUAACAUAUAAUAUGACAUGAUGAUAAUAGGUAUAUAGAUAGAUAGAUAUAUGGAUAAAUGUAGAAAAAUAGUUAUUUUAGUAUCUCCUGGUUAAUCCAGUUCCACCAUCCACCACCUCUGCAGUUAAGAUCUCAAUUGGGAAAUCGCAGUCUGGAGUGGAAGGAUUAUUUGUUGUUAUGGUUGCUCCUGAUAAGUUGCAUUUCCGCAAAUCUUGAUUAAAAAUUUGGUAAAGCAUAUUAUAUGCAUAAGAGACCUUCUCUGUGAAACUGAGGUUAUCACACGUUGCACCAGCGCCAAACGCACUGCAGUCUGAUUUCGCACAGGCAAACUCGUAAUCUUGCAACACUAGGGACUCGUUGUGAUCCGUUUUACCAUCAAACACACACCAUCGGUUUGGCAUUCGCACCGUACCUUUUCACAAUAUAUAUAUAUAUAUAGCUAGUCAUUAUAUGGCACUAUGUAAUCCACAUAAAAUAAUAUUAGUAGCUUUGAAAAUGUUAAAUGCAAGAAAAACAAUGUCAUAUGAAGCCGAGGAAAUUAUCCAGAUGAUCACGCAAUUCAACAUAGGUAGUACCUUUGGCAACCGAGGGCUUGACAUCUCUGUUUUGCAGGGUGAAAUCAAUUUUGUACUUGGGUACACCAUCGUGUUUAUAGACACCCCAAUGUCGUUGAUAAGGUCCGUAAUCUGUAACAACCAAAUUCUCAUCUGUUAAGCUAAGGAGAUACAUAUUUAUAUCUCUAUUUGGGCGGAGUGGAGUUCCCUCCUUCCUAGCAAUAUAUUGAAGAAGGCCGCGGUUAAAUUUUUCAGCAUUUUUUUCAUUCGCACUCACAUAUCCAUCUGUAGGCCAACCAAUUUGUCCGACAAUAAUCUCCAUAUCACCAUAACCUGCCUUUGCUAGAGCAGAAACAAGUGUAUCGUACAUGAAAGUAAACAGAUUCGUGUAGGUGUUAUUUCCAUCUACGAUUUUGAACUUGGAUUUAUUAUUGAAGAAAGCAAAGUCCACAUCAAAUCCGUAUGUAUAAACUGUAAAGAUUGGGAACAUAUGGAUGACGAAAGGGGCACCAGUUCUGUUAAUGCAAUCGAGAAAUUCCAACAUUUUCCCCUUUAUGUCUUCUCGAAAAUCACCUUCUGAUGGCUUGCUAACAUUUGUUAAAACGUCCGUGAAAUGAGGAGUUGUUGCUUUGACAUCUGGGAGGUUGAAUUUAUCAAGGGCCUCUCGCGUCAUAUUCAGGUAACGGAUAGUACCAUUAAAUUGUUUUUUCAUAUAUAAUGAUUUUGUAAAGGGUUCGUUCCCCACGUACACAUACCUACAAGUUAAAUCAAUAAUAACGUCCAUUAAAA